GCAACCGAGUUGUAAUUUGGAGACGGGACACUAGAGAGGAGGAAGGCGAUUAAGUGCCUUGGAACAGGCUGCCGUAGAGGGUGAGAGCCCCGUGAAUCCUGGAGACCGAUCAAUUAGUGCCCGCCGAAGAGUCGAGUUGUUUGGGAAUGCAGCUCUAAGCGGGUGGUAUAUUCCAUCUAAGGCUAAAUAUUAGCGAGAGACCGAUAGCAAACAAGUACAGUGAUGGAAAGAUGAAAAGAACUUUGGAAAGAGAGUGAAAUAGUACGUGAAAUUGUUGAAAGGGAAGGGUAUUUGAUCCGACAUGGUGUUUAGCAGCGGCCCGUUCCUCGUGGAUGGGUGCACCUGGUUUACACUGGGCCAGCAUCGGUUCUGGGAGCCAUAUACGGGGUUCGUGAAUGUGGCCCUUCGAUUCUGUCGGAGGGUGUUAUAGCGCGGA
This 436-nucleotide ribosomal RNA is filed under the name uncultured Dekkera. RNAcentral's name for it is "eukaryotic LSU rRNA". It matches the Rfam family "Eukaryotic large subunit ribosomal RNA", at positions 134 to 575 of the family's 3401-position model. The record is from RNAcentral. Lineage: Eukaryota; Fungi; Ascomycota; Saccharomycetes; Saccharomycetales; Saccharomycetaceae.